This 69-nucleotide transfer RNA is filed under the name Rattus norvegicus (Norway rat). It matches the Rfam family "tRNA". Rfam says of the family: Transfer RNA (tRNA) molecules are approximately 80 nucleotides in length. Lineage: Eukaryota; Metazoa; Chordata; Mammalia; Rodentia; Muridae. The record is from Rfam by way of RNAcentral.
GGGGAUUUAGCUCAGCGGUAGAGCGCUUGCCUAGCAAGCGCAAGGCCCUGGGUUCGGUCCCCAGCUCCU